UGAGUAAAGUGGCGCACGGGUGAGUAACACGUGGAUAAUCUGCCCGGUGACCCGGAAUAACAUCCCGAAAGGGGUGCUAAUACCGGAUAAGCUCACGAGAUCUUCGGAUCUUGCGGGAAAAGGUGGGGACCUUCGGGCCUACCGUCACCGGAUGAGUCCGCGGCCCAUUAGCUAGUUGGUGGGGUAAUGGCCUACCAAGGCUUCGAUGGGUAGCUGGUCUGAGAGGAUGAUCAGCCACACUGGAACUGAGACACGGUCCGGACUCCUACGGGAGGCAGCAGUGGGGACUUUUGCGCAAUGGGCGAAAGCCUGACGCAGCAACGCCGCGUGAGGGAUGAAGGCCUUCGGGUCGUAAACCUCUGUCAGAGGGGAAGAACCGUCGGUGGGAUAAUACCCCAUCGGCCUGACGGUACCCUCAGAGGAAGCACCGGCUAACUCCGUGCCAGCAGCCGCGGUAAUACGGAGGGUGCAAGCGUUGUUCGGAAUUAUUGGGCGUAAAGCGCGUGUAGGCGGCCACUUAAGUCUGGUGUGAAAGCCCUGGGCUCAACCCGGGAAGUGCAUCGGAUACUG
Molecule: ribosomal RNA, 570 nt
Filed under: uncultured bacterium
Lineage: Bacteria
Description: bacterial SSU rRNA
Rfam family: Bacterial small subunit ribosomal RNA
Source: RNAcentral